This is a long non-coding RNA of Drosophila arizonae, 101 nucleotides long. Lineage: Eukaryota; Metazoa; Arthropoda; Insecta; Diptera; Drosophilidae. The record is from RefSeq and is a predicted model, not a curated record.
GUGGCAGUUCAAUUUGCAUUACUGAAAUACAUUUUGGGACUGUUUGCUCGGGAUCACAACCUCCUAUAUAUAUACAUAUAUAUAUKUAUAUAUAUGAAUAU